Molecule: non-coding RNA, 872 nt
Organism: Schizosaccharomyces pombe (fission yeast)
Lineage: Eukaryota; Fungi; Ascomycota; Schizosaccharomycetes; Schizosaccharomycetales; Schizosaccharomycetaceae
Source: the annotation of a GenBank genome assembly
ACGGCUGAUCGCAGAGCUGUCACAGCUGCUUCACGCACAAGGGCAGCCAAAUCUGCACCCGAAAAAUUACUGCAUCUUUCAUCUCGACCAAGUACAUCCAAAUUUACCUCUUCGUGUAAGGGCGUCUGUUUUGUCAACGUUUUUAAAAUCUCCACCCGUUCAUGAGCAUCCGGUAAAUCAACAAGCAAUGUUUUAUCUAAACGACCAGGACGCAGCAUUGCUGGAUCUAUAAUAUCCGGUCGAUUGGUAGCAGCAAUUACAUAAACUCCUGAACGAUCGCUAAGACCGUCCAGUUCAGUAAGAAGGGUAUUUACAACUCUUGACGAGGCUUCUGACAGUGAGUCAUCACGCCUGGGUACCAUCGCAUCUAAUUCAUCAAAAAAGAUAACACAUGGAGAAGAUGCACGUGCUCUGAGGAAAACUUGUCGCACUGCACGUUCUGACUCACCAACAUACUUAUUAAGCAAUUCUGGACCACGAAUGGAUAUAAAAUUUGCUUUACUUUCAUUUGCAACCGCUUUAGCCAACAGAGUUUUACCACAUCCAGGAGGACCCCAUAGUAAAACGCCUGUAGGUGCACUGAUACCAACGCUUUGGUAAAGCUCCGGACGUUUGAUGGGCUGAACGAUGGCCAUUUGUAAUUCGACACGAAUUGAUUUUAGUGCACCAAUAUUAUUCCAAGAAACACCUGGAACGGUAGCAAAUCCUUCACGUUUAGACGAAGGUUGAACUUUGGCGAGUGCUUCAAUAAAAUCUUGUGGACAAAUAGCGAGUGGUUCAAGUUCCUCUGGAGAUAGUGGAUCAGGAUGAGCAUUCAAAUAUCUUUGAAUUAUAGAAGAAUGAUCAAGGGGUAAGCUGUCGUUUGAAUCUAA